CAAUAUAGUCACAAUGUUACUUAUCAUUGACGCAAUAGAAAAGUCCCUUAUCUUAACUAGUUGAUUUAACCUAGAGAGCAAUACAUUCGAUAUUCGGUUAUUUGCGUGACGCAGCAAGAAAAACGGAAAGGCCCUAAACCAGAUGGUGGUGUAUUAUCAUCAAACACUUCACAUGCAGUGACAACUUGAUAACAGGACAAAAACGUAAUUAUUUUCUUAAUAAAUCGACCGAACGCGCGAGUUACAUAUUCUUGUAUUUUCAUUGCUGUUACCUAAAGCUUAACUGUUGAUAGAUACUGGAAUAUUUCAUUUCUUAUGCGAGAGUAAUUAUUGACAACGUGGUUCUUAAUUUUGCAUAACAAUGCUCAAUCAGCUCUUCGUUUACACCAAUUUACACAAUUCACAUGAAAGCUUUCUUGCUUAUAAACACAAUCUUACUCCUGUCUGAUGUUUAAUCUCGGUUUAGCAUUUCAUUUAACUGUUUUAAAACAUUAAUAUAGCAUUCUUAGGAUAGAACGAGCAAAGUCAUCCCUCCCACGUUCGCAUUUUUUUGCACAGAAAUGCUCAAUACAUCCUAGGAAUUUUUUAAUGUACAAUUCUCAUGUUAAUCUGACAUAACAACAGCGCGGAAGUGACAUUGUUUGACCAGCUAAUUUUAUUUAUCAAUGUCUACGUGCGGAAUGCCUGUAAAACUGCGCGUUUCCUUACACAUUUUUUCGUUUCACGCAGUGUUUAAAUCGUGUUUCGGCAAUUGCUAUAAUGUCACCUAUAUUAAAUGACAUAACCAUGAAUCAUAGGAGAUCGUGCGCUACGCAUUCAAUCUUAUUAGCUAUGUACGCGUGAGGGAAAACUAACUGGAGCGAUUUUACUGAACUAUGAUUACACCCAGUGGCAACUACAGUGGCAACUACAGUGGCAGUAAGGAAUGUAAUUUAUGCGUUCUAAUGACUUCAUUAGCGAAGGCGACUUCUCUAUAUAGAAUAUUACAUAGACAAAUAUUAAGCUGAUGAUGGUCUUCAUCUUGCUGUAAUGGAACAAUCAUCUCUAUAAAUGCUCAUAAUGCUAUCAAAUCCUGCUUUGUUGCAAGCGAUCGCUCAUUUUAAACAAUAAAUAGCUGGCAUGGUCUUUCCGGAAUAAAUAAAUUUAAAUUUGA
This is a long non-coding RNA of Xenia sp. Carnegie-2017, 1153 nucleotides long. RefSeq lists it as uncharacterized. NCBI's taxonomy places the organism in Eukaryota, Metazoa, Cnidaria, Anthozoa, Malacalcyonacea, Xeniidae. The record is from RefSeq and is a predicted model, not a curated record. The transcript is spliced from 2 exons.